This 496-nucleotide ribosomal RNA is filed under the name uncultured bacterium. Its description in RNAcentral is "partial 16S ribosomal RNA". It matches the Rfam family "Bacterial small subunit ribosomal RNA", at positions 28 to 506 of the family's 1533-position model. The record is from RNAcentral.
GAUGAACGCUGGCGGCGUGCCUAAUACAUGCAAGUCGAGCGAACAGACGAGGAGCUUGCUCCUCUGACGUUAGCGGCGGACGGGUGAGUAACACGUGGAUAACCUACCUAUAAGACUGGGAUAACUUCGGGAAACCGGAGCUAAUACCGGAUAAUAUAUUGAACCGCAUGGUUCAAUAGUGAAAGACGGUUUUGCUGUCACUUAUAGAUGGAUCCGCGCCGCAUUAGCUAGUUGGUAAGGUAACGGCUUACCAAGGCAACGAUGCGUAGCCGACCUGAGAGGGUGAUCGGCCACACUGGAACUGAGACACGGCCCAGACCCCUACGGGAGGCAGCAGUGGGGAAUUUUCCGCAAGGGGGGAAAGCCGGAGGGAGCAACCCCGGGGGAGUGAUGAAGGUCUUGGGUUCGAAAACCUCUGUUAUUAGGGAAAAAAAAAGGUGAAAGUAACUAUGCACGUCUUGACGGUACCUAAUCAGAAAGCCCCGGCUAACUACGU